CCUACGGGGAGCAGCAGUGAGGAAUAUUGGUCAAUGGACGAGAGUCUGAACCAGCCAAGUAGCGUGAAGGAUGACUGCCCUAUGGGUUGUAAACUUCUUUUAUAUGGGAAUAAAAUGUUCCACGUGUGGGAUUUUGUAUGUACCAUAUGAAUAAGGAUCGGCUAACUCCGUGCCAGCAGCCGCGGUAAUACGGAGGAUCCGAGCGUUAUCCGGAUUUAGUGGGUUUAAAGGGAGCGUAGGUGGAUUGUUAAGUCAGUGGUGAAAGUUUGCGGCUCAACCGUAAAAUUGCAGUUGAAACUGGCAGUCUUGAGUACAGUAGAGGUAGGCGGAAUUCGUGGUGUAGCGGUGAAAUGCUUAGAUAUCAUGAAGAACUCCGAUUGCGAAGGCAGUUCACUGGACUGCAACUGACACCGAGGCUCGAAAGUGUGGGUAUCAAACAGGAUUAGAUACCCGGGUAGUC
RNAcentral lists this ribosomal RNA (460 nucleotides) under uncultured bacterium. Its description in RNAcentral is "partial 16S ribosomal RNA". It matches the Rfam family "Bacterial small subunit ribosomal RNA", at positions 338 to 795 of the family's 1533-position model. The record is from RNAcentral.